Molecule: long non-coding RNA, 1382 nt
Organism: Populus nigra (black poplar)
Lineage: Eukaryota; Viridiplantae; Streptophyta; Magnoliopsida; Malpighiales; Salicaceae
Exons: 3
Source: RefSeq, a predicted model, not a curated record
GGAACGUUCCAGUCAAAAUAUUUUUAUUUUUAACAUUUAAUCAUUUUUUUUAAUUUUUUCAGGUUUCACAAACCCAGACACCACCCCCCGCGGUUUGCCCUCCCAGAACCAGAGAGCCAAAAACAGACCAGCCACACACCCGACCUUCCCCCUCUCACCCGACCUUCCCCCUCUCAGCCGGUCUUCACCGCUAGCCGUAGCAGCGCCGUCCUCACCGAAGAUCCAGCAGCCCACAGAUCCCCAUCCCUAUUCCCUCACCCUCAACCACGAUAGAUCUUCCCUCGUCAGCACAGACCGGCCUCCACCGAAACCAACCCCAGAGCAGCCCAAACACAUCGGCGCCCACAGACCCAGAUCUGUCCGCCUUCUUCCUCCAGCUCCUCCCCCACAGACGGCGUCCUCUUCCUCAUCAACCGACUCUCCUUCUCUAAUUCAACCCCAUGUAGAAGAUCUGGACUGAGACCCAACCGCCAGAUCUGCCACCUGCAGAAGAAGAAAACAAAACGAACCGAGGAAAGGAGAAGGCGGAUUUCUUUUAACAUGUGAGAACUUCUGAUGAUACAAAUGGAACAGAAUGCUUCCUCUUUUAAUGAGCACUUGAGAGUUGUCCAGACGUGAAGCAGUUAGUUUUCUCUGCAACGUAUGGUGUCGUAUUACAUUACAUUACGAACCACAAUUACUAGGAGCUGAGCGGUUUUCCUGUUGCGCAGCUGCUUCUGUUUGGUUCACUAUUUUGGGACUUGGUAUAAGCCUUUCUUCUCUUUCUUUUUCUGUACCCUUUUUGGCUUGCUACUGUUUAUUGCUUCAUUGCUAGUCUUGAUAGAUUUUGGCUCUGAUUAGUAUGGGGUCUCUAGCUUUUUUUUGUGGGCUGGCCAUUCCAUCUUCACAGUAUGGAAUUGUCUCUGUAUGGCCUUAAUGUGCACAGGAAUAAAUAUUGGAUGAAAUUGAUGUGAAUGUAGAUGUUCAUAACAAGUAAUGUCUACUUUCCUUCCUGUGUUUCAAAAAAUUCAUAUGAGAAGCUGAGAAGGUGAUACAUGAGUCGGGCUUGUUGAAGCUUAAGAUUAUAAGCAUUCAGAAUAGGAUUUGCCACAAACAAACUAUAUAUGGAUGGCCAAACAUAAAGUAUUGUUGUGUGUUGCCCUAGAAUACUAGCAGCUUAAAAAGUCAACAUCAGAAGAUCAACUGUUGAGUCAUAUUUAAUUUUUUAUAGGAGAUUCUACAUGUUAUUUGCUUAAAUAGAAUAACCUUGUCAUCCAUCGAACCGGUGGAUGCCCUCAAAUUAGGUCUAGAAAAUGUUGUUCAUGUCAAUUAUGUUAUUUUUCUUGAUUUAUUUUGGAUUUAUUAUUUUAUUUUAGAUUUUAUAAUAAUUUUUUAAGUGCUUU